RNAcentral lists this ribosomal RNA (465 nucleotides) under uncultured bacterium. RNAcentral describes it as "partial 16S ribosomal RNA". It matches the Rfam family "Bacterial small subunit ribosomal RNA", at positions 28 to 507 of the family's 1533-position model. The record is from RNAcentral.
GACGAACGCUGGCGGCGUGCUUAACACAUGCAAGUCGAACGGAAAGGCCCCCUUGUGGGGUACUCGAGUGGCGAACGGGUGAGUAACACGUGAGUAACCUACCCUUCCCUUUGGGAUAACUUCAGUAAACUGGGGCUAAUACCGGAUAGGAGCUCCUGCUGCAUGGUGGGGUUUGGAAGGUUUCGGCGGUUGGGGAUGGACUUGCGGCUUAUCAGCUUGUUGGUGGGGUAGUGGCUCACCAAGGCUUUGACGGGUAGCCGGCCUGAGAGGGUGACCGGCCACAUUGGGACUGAGAUACGGCCCAGACUCCUACGGGAGGCAGCAGUGGGGAGUAUUGCACAAUGGGCGGAAGCCUGAUGCAGCAACGCCGCGUGCGGGAUGACGGCCUUCGGGUUGUAAACCGCUUUCGCCUGUGACGAAGCGUGAGUGACGGUAAUGGGUAAAGAAGCACCGGCUAACUACGUG